UGCAUGCAGUCGAACGAGGUCGCUCCUUCGGGGGCUAAACCUAGUGGCAGACGGCUGAGUAACGCGUGGGUGACCUGCCCCCGAGAACGGGAUAACUGCGGGAAGCUGCAGCUAAUACCGUAUACAUUCCCGUGCUUCAAGGCGCGGGAAGAAAUGAUUUAUCGCUCGGGGAUGGGCCCGCGUCCUAUCAGGUAGUUGGUGCGGUAACGGCGUACCAAGCCUUAAACGGGUAUCUGGUGUGAGAGCAUGACCAGACAGAGGGGGACUGAGACACGGCCCCCACUCCUCCGGGAGGCAGCAGCAAGGGAUCGUGCACAAUGGGCGAAAGCCUGAUGCCGCGACGCCGCGUGAGGGAUGACGGCUUUCGAGUUGUAAACCUCUUUUCUCAGGGAAGAGAGAGGACGUCACCUGAGGAAUAAGUCAUGGCUAACUACGUGCCAGCAGCAGCGGUAAUACGUAGGUGGCAAGCGUUGUCCGGAAUUACUGGGCGUAAAGGGUCCGUAGGCGGUUCGGUCAGUCCUCUGUGAAAGCUCCAGGCUCAACUUGGAGUCGUCAGGAGAAACUGCCGAACUAGAGACUGUCAGAGGCAGGUGGAAUUCCCGGUGUAGUGGUGAAAUACGUAGAUAUCGGGAGGAACACCAGUGGCGAAAGCGGCCUGCUGGGGCAGUUCUGACGCUAAGGGACUAAAGCGUGGGGAGCGAACCGGAUUACAUACCCGGGUAGUCCACGCCCUAAACGAUGAAUGCUAGGUCUCCGGGGUGUUAAUUCCCUGUGGGCCA
RNAcentral lists this ribosomal RNA (779 nucleotides) under uncultured Chloroflexota bacterium. RNAcentral describes it as "bacterial SSU rRNA". It matches the Rfam family "Bacterial small subunit ribosomal RNA", at positions 52 to 848 of the family's 1533-position model. The record is from RNAcentral. Lineage: Bacteria; Bacillati; Chloroflexota.